This is a non-coding RNA of Equus caballus (horse), 2801 nucleotides long. NCBI's taxonomy places the organism in Eukaryota, Metazoa, Chordata, Mammalia, Perissodactyla, Equidae. The record is from RefSeq and is a predicted model, not a curated record.
GAAAAAGUUGGCUGACUCUUGCUCUAGGAGUCAAUUUGAAGUCCUAAACGAAAAACACCAGGGGUUCAAAUACUGAAUACAAACAAGUGAAUGAUUGGAUAAGCAAAGAAGACCUGCAAAUUGGACCAACUACGUAUACUCAAGAAGUGCAUGCCACAAGCUCUGCAUGGGUUUGAAUCCUACUUUACAGUGUGUCCUUCAGAAUGAGUUCGUGCAGAUACAAUAAACCCAGGGAAGGACUUCAACCCUUUCAAUAUCUGAACCCCUGAAUCCAAGACUCACCACCAAGAACAGUGCCCCCCACAGCAGGAGAGUGGCUAUUACUGAGUGAAUGGAUAUCUAUGAUUCUGUAGCUGAGCUGGAGCACAGAAAUGCCAACACCAGUACAGGAAGCGGCCUUUCCAUUAUGCUUUAGACUGAGGAACUUUGAAGAAUCUACCCUGUGAAACGUGUUGUAUUUACUUGCUGAGUACUGUUGAGGUGGUCAUCCAUUAUAUCAUAGAUGGUCCUCUUUAUGUGGAGGCAGAGUUACCAAGAGGCUCAGGGAGUCCUGGAAGAGUCCAAGAUGGGAGGUCUAUUUUGCCUGUGUACGUAGGAACUCAGUCAACUGAAGACAGCCUCAUCUGGAACAUCUGGUUUGCUGGGACAGCACUGUGGAAACUUAACAUAUAGAUUUUACAAUAUUUAGUAAACCAGGAGGAACAAAUAUGUACACCCUCUUCUUUGAUCAAAAGAUCUUCAGCAUUCUACUGGUAAAUACAAUAUCUUGUCUUCGGUUUUACAAGGACUGAAAUAAACUUCCAUAAAUUAGUAUCGUAGUUAUUUAUUAAAUUAAAACAAUGGCUAAAUUUUUCUUUGUGAUGUAUCUCACAAUAUACUCCAGUGUAAGCCUUAAUUUGGAUUAAAUAUAUUUUGAUUUAGUUUAAUCAUCCUCUCUAUGCAAUCUCAAUUUAUAUGUGUUUCAAUGAGUUUAAAGAUACCAGCGUUAGAAGGAAAUUUGACUGACUUUGGAGUUAACUUUGUAGCUGUGUUGACUUUGGGGAAGUGACUUUGUUCUUAGCUUUGUUUUCGUUGCUUAUAAAAUGUGGAUAAUUAUCCUUAUAUUCUGAAGCUGUAUUAAGAGUUAAAGGAGACAAUCUAUAUAAAACACAUAGCAUAGUAUUUGGCACAUCAUAGAGACUCAAUAAGAGGUAACUAUUGUUAAUCAUCUUAGUUUAAUAAAGAAAAACAAUGCUAUUCAAUGAUAAACUAGUUAAUCUCUAUGUUCCAUAUGCCAUUUAAGUCUUAUGGUUACUGCUUAAAUAUUGCUAUGGAAAUGUAUGACAGUCACUCUUAGGUAUUUGGGAUAUACCAGUUAUAAUCAAAGUUUUUGUUCUCCAGGAGCUAAGUUGGAAUUAUCUUCAAUGCUGAAGUGAUCAUUUUAUACAUGUCACCUUGUGCGCAUGAGUAAGCGAUUCUGUGCAGCAUAUGCAAAGAAAUGAAAGUUAUAGGUCACAGGGUACACAUGUAAGUUUAGCUCUGGUAGGUACUACAAAAAUAUUUUCAAAGUGUUUGUAGCAUUUUACAUUCCUACCAGCAGUGUAUGAGAAUUCCAGCUGCACUAUAUCUUUGUCAACACUUGGUAUUAUAAGACUUUUAACUUUUAGCCAUUCUGGUGUACAAUGGUAUAUUAUUGUGGUUUACUUUGUGUCUAAAUAAUAUCUCUUAUUUAACAGAAGUUCCUAAUUUUAACAGAGAUCUAGGUAUUAAUCUUUUCUUAUAUAGCUAGUGUUUGUUUUCCUGAGGGAUUUCAGAAAUCUCUGCCUAAAUUAUGGUCAUGAAAAUAUUAUUUUUCUACCUUAUUGCCCCACAAAUUGAUUGUUUUACCUUUCACAUUUAGAUCUGUAAUUCAUAUGGAAUGGUACUGUGUGAGUAAAGGGUCAAGAUUCAAGUUGUCCUCAUGUGCGUUACAGUUGACCCAGCAUCAUUUAACAAACAUCUAUCCUUUCCCCACUGGUGUGCAUUGCUAUGUUUUUUAUAAAUGUCCAUAUAUACGGUAGUCUAUUUCUGGGCUUUCUAUUCCAUUCUAUGUAUCCGUCUUUCUACGGGCAGUCCACACCAUCUUAAUUAUUACAGCUGUAUAGUAAGCCUUGAUAUUUGGGAAUAUAAACUUCCAACUUUGUUUUUCUUCUUCAGGAAAGAAGAUUGUUUUGAGUAUUUCUGACCUUUGACAUUUCCAAAUGAAUUUUAGAAUCAACUUGUUGAUUUCCACAAAAAUAUCUGCUACAAUUUUGAUUUGGAUUGCACUGAAUCUGUAUAUAAACUUAAGAAGAAUUGACAUUAUGACAAUAUUGAGUAUUCCAGUCCAUGAACAUGAUAUAUCCUUCUAUUUAUUUAGGUUUUAUAUAGCUUUCCUAGCACUGUUUUAUAGUUGUUUGUAUAAAGGUCUGGCACAUUACAUUUACUGUAGAUACUUGAUGAUUUUGUAAAUAAUAUUAUUCAAGAAUUUUUAUUGUACAUUCAGUUGUUGCUUGUACAUAGAAAUAAAAUUGAUAUAUUGAUUUAGUUUUGAGUGAUCUUAGUAAAUUCACUUAUUAAAUCUAAUAAUUUAUCUGAAGAUUCUUUUGAGUUUUCUAUAUGUAUAAUCAUAUUGUCUAUAGAUAAGAUGGCAGUUAUGUUUCUUCCUUUUUAGUUCUUAAUCUUUCUUUUCCUCUGUCUGAAUGCCUUGCUAAGACCUCCUUGCAAAGUUAAAUAAGAUUGAUGAUAACAGUCAUCUUCAUCUCAUUCUUGUGCAAAUUUCUGUGUCACCAUUAAAUAUGAUA